GAAACACACAAAGCACUCAAAUCAACAUUUAAAUUCAGCUUUAGUACACCCUCUCUUAUUAUACUCUAGCUUCUCUAGGCCUAUCUCAACUCUUUUCAUCCGUACACUCAUCAUCAUGCAUUCACACAUGCAAAUCAGCCAGCUCUCAAGUUCAUUAAGCAUAGCAUCACGUGAAUUCUUGCAAAUGGUCAAUGGGUCCAAAUCAUUUGGGUAAGGGGAGGCUUUUUAAUC
This 231-nucleotide long non-coding RNA is filed under the name Brassica napus (rape). RNAcentral describes it as "long non-coding RNA (BNAP_LNC025736)". The record is from RNAcentral. Lineage: Eukaryota; Viridiplantae; Streptophyta; Magnoliopsida; Brassicales; Brassicaceae.